This 1487-nucleotide long non-coding RNA is filed under the name Marmota monax (woodchuck). Lineage: Eukaryota; Metazoa; Chordata; Mammalia; Rodentia; Sciuridae. The record is from RNAcentral.
AACAAUUUGCACACCUUGAGUGUAGGUAUGAUCAGUUAUUUAAAAGGCAAAAGUCAUUAUGGAUUUCCAGACUUGGAAUGGAAGAGCCAUUGAAACCUCCUACAGAUCUUAAUAUCUAAACUGGUACAUAUCAGUCUCCAUAACACACUGAAGCCAGAAACUUCUGAAGUCCUUCCUUAUUCUUAUUAUAAAGUGAAAAAGGUCUUUGCAGCCAAUGUGUGAGGAAACCACUGUGGGUUAUACCCAGGUAAGGGAGCCCCGGCUCUACAAUAUGUAUGAUAUAUAAUGUACGCAUUGUUUAGUCUCUUGAUUAUGGAUUUUGGGUAAGAAAGCAUACUGGUGAUAUUCUCAUCAUUUCUUGCAGGACACAUCCAGUUAACAUGGUUCAUCACAUGUGAGAAUAAGCUUGUUCACAGGUAUCUCCACUGUGAAGUUACUUUCCCCACUUCUUCUCACACUCCUCAGAAGCAAGUCAUCCCCAAGACAGUGAAUUAAGUGACCCUCAGCUCUCCAGGGAGGGAGUAGCCACACACAUGAUCUGGAGUUCUGUCUCAAGUGUUUAAAACUAGCUCAUCUGAAGAUCCUCAGGAGUCCUUUUCCACCCUUUCUUUUUAGUUAGAUGAUUUAUACAAUGCAAGAUGACCUGCUUUUCUUUGCUUAAGCUUUUCAGGUUAAAUGAGACAAUAAAAUAAAUGGGAGAUGGGUUCUUUGCCAUUAUAAAUUUGUGACUUGUCCAAGUCACAUGUGCCUUUUCUGACAAGCUAGGGAGAAUUAUGAAAGUAUAUACUGACUACUAUGUAUUUUAUCAACUCUAAAGGGAGACAUUUGGAUUGUGUUCAAUUCUAGAACAGCCUUCUUAUUAUGAUUUAUUUGAACAUCAGUUCUGUGAAUUUAAAUUACAGCUACAUUUCCCAAUGCAUGCUGAAGUGUAUGUAAAAGACUCUAUGCUAUAGCUUUAUUUUCUUUGUUUUCAUGGUACUUGAGAUCUAACCCAUGGCUCAUGCAUGCUAGACAAGCACCCUAAUAGUAAACUACAUCCUUAACUUUUUUUAUUUUGAGAUAAGGUCUUGCUAGCAUCAAACUUGUGACCCUCCUACUUCAGUCUCCCAUGUAACUGGGAAUAUAGUUGUGUUCCACCAAACAUGGCUUAUGGCAUUGUUUGUAGUGACCAAAUACCCAAACAUACAAAAAGAACAAAAUUAACCCCUAAUAAAGCAUAAGCAUCCAUUAAUAGAAAAUUAGUUAAAUAAAUCAUGGAACAUAGCUAGUAUUGGAUAUGAUGCUACUUUUUAAGUAUGAAUGACACAAUGAAAUAUUACUCAGCAUUAAAAGAGAAUAAAAUCAUGGCAUUUGCAGGCUAAUGAAUGGAGUGGUAGAAGAGAAUGCUCAGUGAAGUUAGCCAAUCCCCAAAAAACAAAUGAUGAAUGUUUUCUCUGAUAUAAGGUGACUGACUCAUAGUGGGGUAGGGAGGAAGAGCAUAGGAGGAA